AUUGAACGCUGGCGGCAGGCUUAACACAUGCAAGUCGAGCGGGGGAAGGUAGCUUGCUACCGGACCUAGCGGCGGACGGGUGAGUAAUGCUUAGGAAUCUGCCUAUUAGUGGGGGACAACAUCUCGAAAGGGAUGCUAAUACCGCAUACGUCCUACGGGAGAAAGCAGGGGAUCUUCGGACCUUGCGCUAAUAGAUGAGCCUAAGUCGGAUUAGCUAGUUGGUGGGGUAAAGGCCUACCAAGGCGACGAUCUGUAGCGGGUCUGAGAGGAUGAUCCGCCACACUGGGACUGAGACACGGCCCAGGCUCCUACGGGAGGCAGCAGUGGGGAAUAUUGGACAAUGGGGGGAACCCUGAUUCAGCCAUGCCGCGUGUGUGAAGAAGGCCUUACGGUUGUAAAGCACUUUAAGCGAGGAGGAGGCUACUCUAGUUAAUACCUAGGGAUAGUGGACGUUACUCGCAGAAUAAGCACCGGCUAACUCUGUGCCAGCCGCCGCCGUAA
RNAcentral lists this ribosomal RNA (501 nucleotides) under uncultured bacterium. RNAcentral's name for it is "partial 16S ribosomal RNA". It matches the Rfam family "Bacterial small subunit ribosomal RNA", at positions 30 to 523 of the family's 1533-position model. The record is from RNAcentral.